Molecule: unclassified non-coding RNA, 425 nt
Filed under: Hevea brasiliensis (rubber tree)
Lineage: Eukaryota; Viridiplantae; Streptophyta; Magnoliopsida; Malpighiales; Euphorbiaceae
Source: RNAcentral
GGCGAGUACCACUUCUAGUAGCUUAUUAGCAAAGCCAAGCAUUUGAAACUUGUUGGGCUGGUUUCAUAAAAAGUUUCUACAAAUCACUGGCUGUCAGGUUCCCCUGAACAUUUCUUGUUCCAACCACCAGAACCAGCUUUCCUCUCUCCCCGCUUUCUCUUGUUCUUUGGAAAUUGGAAAUCUGAGGCUAAACAUGAUUUCAGAGUUGAUUGCUCCUCUGAGAAAGUGGUUUUUGCCGUUGGAUCUGGUUCUAAGGUAGUAACUGGACAAGGAUUGGUGCUUUCUUCUUCUCCUUUCUCUUGUUCGUGAUGCUUCUCUAGAAGUUGAUUAUCUGUCCCUAUGAAAGUGUCUCUCUCUCCCUUGGUUGAUUCAGUAUGUGUCAACACAUUAUCCACAAUAUCUUCACAUGAAUCUCCAAUUUGUGG